RNAcentral lists this ribosomal RNA (2775 nucleotides) under Escherichia coli. RNAcentral describes it as "bacterial LSU rRNA". It matches the Rfam family "Bacterial large subunit ribosomal RNA". Lineage: Bacteria; Pseudomonadati; Pseudomonadota; Gammaproteobacteria; Enterobacterales; Enterobacteriaceae. The record is from RNAcentral.
AGCGUACACGGUGGAUGCCCUGGCAGUCAGAGGCGAUGAAGGACGUGCUAAUCUGCGAUAAGCGUCGGUAAGGUGAUAUGAACCGUUAUAACCGGCGAUUUCCGAAUGGGGAAACCCAGUGUGAUUCGUCACACUAUCAUUAACUGAAUCCAUAGGUUAAUGAGGCGAACCGGGGGAACUGAAACAUCUAAGUACCCCGAGGAAAAGAAAUCAACCGAGAUUCCCCCAGUAGCGGCGAGCGAACGGGGAGCAGCCCAGAGCCUGAAUCAGUGUGUGUGUUAGUGGAAGCGUCUGGAAAGGCGCGCGAUACAGGGUGACAGCCCCGUACACAAAAAUGCACAUGCUGUGAGCUCGAUGAGUAGGGCGGGACACGUGGUAUCCUGUCUGAAUAUGGGGGGACCAUCCUCCAAGGCUAAAUACUCCUGACUGACCGAUAGUGAACCAGUACCGUGAGGGAAAGGCGAAAAGAACCCCGGCGAGGGGAGUGAAAAAGAACCUGAAACCGUGUACGUACAAGCAGUGGGAGCACAGAGCAAUCUGUGUGACUGCGUACCUUUUGUAUAAUGGGUCAGCGACUUAUAUUCUGUAGCAAGGUUAACCGAAUAGGGGAGCCGAAGGGAAACCGAGUCUUAACUGGGCGUUAAGUUGCAGGGUAUAGACCCGAAACCCGGUGAUCUAGCCAUGGGCAGGUUGAAGGUUGGGUAACACUAACUGGAGGACCGAACCGACUAAUGUUGAAAAAUUAGCGGAUGACUUGUGGCUGGGGGUGAAAGGCCAAUCAAACCGGGAGAUAGCUGGUUCUCCCCGAAAGCUAUUUAGGUAGCGCCUCGUGAAUUCAUCUCCGGGGGUAGAGCACUGUUUCGGCAAGGGGGUCAUCCCGACUUACCAACCCGAUGCAAACUGCGAAUACCGGAGAAUGUUAUCACGGGAGACACACGGCGGGUGCUAACGUCCGUCGUGAAGAGGGAAACAACCCAGACCGCCAGCUAAGGUCCCAAAGUCAUGGUUAAGUGGGAAACGAUGUGGGAAGGCCCAGACAGCCAGGAUGUUGGCUUAGAAGCAGCCAUCAUUUAAAGAAAGCGUAAUAGCUCACUGGUCGAGUCGGCCUGCGCGGAAGAUGUAACGGGGCUAAACCAUGCACCGAAGCUGCGGCAGCGACGCUUAUGCGUUGUUGGGUAGGGGAGCGUUCUGUAAGCCUGUGAAGGUGUACUGUGAGGUAUGCUGGAGGUAUCAGAAGUGCGAAUGCUGACAUAAGUAACGAUAAAGCGGGUGAAAAGCCCGCUCGCCGGAAGACCAAGGGUUCCUGUCCAACGUUAAUCGGGGCAGGGUGAGUCGACCCCUAAGGCGAGGCCGAAAGGCGUAGUCGAUGGGAAACAGGUUAAUAUUCCUGUACUUGGUGUUACUGCGAAGGGGGGACGGAGAAGGCUAUGUUGGCCGGGCGACGGUUGUCCCGGUUUAAGCGUGUAGGCUGGUUUUCCAGGCAAAUCCGGAAAAUCAAGGCUGAGGCGUGAUGACGAGGCACUACGGUGCUGAAGCAACAAAUGCCCUGCUUCCAGGAAAAGCCUCUAAGCAUCAGGUAACAUCAAAUCGUACCCCAAACCGACACAGGUGGUCAGGUAGAGAAUACCAAGGCGCUUGAGAGAACUCGGGUGAAGGAACUAGGCAAAAUGGUGCCGUAACUUCGGGAGAAGGCACGCUGAUACGUAGGUGAAGUCCCUCGCGGAUGGAGCUGAAAUCAGUCGAAGAUACCAGCUGGCUGCAACUGUUUAUUAAAAACACAGCACUGUGCAAACACGAAAGUGGACGUAUACGGUGUGACGCCUGCCCGGUGCCGGAAGGUUAAUUGAUGGGGUCAGCGCAAGCGAAGCUCUUGAUCGAAGCCCCGGUAAACGGCGGCCGUAACUAUAACGGUCCUAAGGUAGCGAAAUUCCUUGUCGGGUAAGUUCCGACCUGCACGAAUGGCGUAAUGAUGGCCAGGCUGUCUCCACCCGAGACUCAGUGAAAUUGAACUCGCUGUGAAGAUGCAGUGUACCCGCGGCAAGACGGAAAGACCCCGUGAACCUUUACUAUAGCUUGACACUGAACAUUGAGCCUUGAUGUGUAGGAUAGGUGGGAGGCUUUGAAGUGUGGACGCCAGUCUGCAUGGAGCCGACCUUGAAAUACCACCCUUUAAUGUUUGAUGUUCUAACGUGGACCCGUGAUCCGGGUUGCGGACAGUGUCUGGUGGGUAGUUUGACUGGGGCGGUCUCCUCCUAAAGAGUAACGGAGGAGCACGAAGGUUGGCUAAUCCUGGUCGGACAUCAGGAGGUUAGUGCAAUGGCAUAAGCCAGCUUGACUGCGAGCGUGACGGCGCGAGCAGGUGCGAAAGCAGGUCAUAGUGAUCCGGUGGUUCUGAAUGGAAGGGCCAUCGCUCAACGGAUAAAAGGUACUCCGGGGAUAACAGGCUGAUACCGCCCAAGAGUUCAUAUCGACGGCGGUGUUUGGCACCUCGAUGUCGGCUCAUCACAUCCUGGGGCUGAAGUAGGUCCCAAGGGUAUGGCUGUUCGCCAUUUAAAGUGGUACGCGAGCUGGGUUUAGAACGUCGUGAGACAGUUCGGUCCCUAUCUGCCGUGGGCGCUGGAGAACUGAGGGGGGCUGCUCCUAGUACGAGAGGACCGGAGUGGACGCAUCACUGGUGUUCGGGUUGUCAUGCCAAUGGCACUGCCCGGUAGCUAAAUGCGGAAGAGAUAAGUGCUGAAAGCAUCUAAGCACGAAACUUGCCCCGAGAUGAGUUCU